RNAcentral lists this ribosomal RNA (2906 nucleotides) under Klebsiella oxytoca. RNAcentral describes it as "23S ribosomal RNA". It matches the Rfam family "Bacterial large subunit ribosomal RNA". The record is from RNAcentral. Lineage: Bacteria; Pseudomonadati; Pseudomonadota; Gammaproteobacteria; Enterobacterales; Enterobacteriaceae.
GGUUAAGCGACUAAGCGUACACGGUGGAUGCCCUGGCAGUCAGAGGCGAUGAAGGACGUGCUAAUCUGCGAAAAGCGUCGGUAAGGUGAUAUGAACCGUUAUAACCGGCGAUGUCCGAAUGGGGAAACCCAGUGCAAUUCGUUGCACUAUCGUUAACUGAAUACAUAGGUUAACGAGGCGAACCGGGGGAACUGAAACAUCUAAGUACCCCGAGGAAAAGAAAUCAACCGAGAUUCCCCCAGUAGCGGCGAGCGAACGGGGAGCAGCCCGGAGUCUGAAUCAGCUUGUGUGUUAGUGGAAGCGUCUGGAAAGUCGCAGGGUACAGGGUGAUACUCCCGUACACUAAAACACACAGGCUGUGAACUCGAAGAGUAGGGCGGGACACGUGGUAUCCUGUCUGAAUAUGGGGGGACCAUCCUCCAAGGCUAAAUACUCCUGACUGACCGAUAGUGAACCAGUACCGUGAGGGAAAGGCGAAAAGAACCCCGGCGAGGGGAGUGAAAAAGAACCUGAAACCGUGUACGUACAAGCAGUAGGAGCCCACUAGUUGGGUGACUGCGUACCUUUUGUAUAAUGGGUCAGCGACUUAUAUUCUGUAGCAAGGUUAACCGAAUAGGGGAGCCGCAGGGAAACCGAGUCUUAACUGGGCGUUAAGUUGCAGGGUAUAGACCCGAAACCCGGUGAUCUAGCCAUGGGCAGGUUGAAGGUUGGGUAACACUAACUGGAGGACCGAACCGACUAAUGUUGAAAAAUUAGCGGAUGACUUGUGGCUGGGGGUGAAAGGCCAAUCAAACCGGGAGAUAGCUGGUUCUCCCCGAAAGCUAUUUAGGUAGCGCCUCGUGAAUUCAUCUUCGGGGGUAGAGCACUGUUUCGGCUAGGGGGUCAUCCCGACUUACCAACCCGAUGCAAACUACGAAUACCGAAGAAUGUUAUCACGGGAGACACACGGCGGGUGCUAACGUCCGUCGUGAAGAGGGAAACAACCCAGACCGCCAGCUAAGGUCCCAAAGUCAUGGUUAAGUGGGAAACGAUGUGGGAAGGCCCAGACAGCCAGGAUGUUGGCUUAGAAGCAGCCAUCAUUUAAAGAAAGCGUAAUAGCUCACUGGUCGAGUCGGCCUGCGCGGAAGAUGUAACGGGGCUAAACCAUGCACCGAAGCUGCGGCAGCGACACUAUGUGUUGUUGGGUAGGGGAGCGUUCUGUAAGCCGUUGAAGGUGGCCUGUGAGGGUUGCUGGAGGUAUCAGAAGUGCGAAUGCUGACAUAAGUAACGAUAAUGCGGGUGAAAAACCCGCACGCCGGAAGACCAAGGGUUCCUGUCCAACGUUAAUCGGGGCAGGGUGAGUCGACCCCUAAGGCGAGGCCGAAAGGCGUAGUCGAUGGGAAACAGGUUAAUAUUCCUGUACUUGGUGUUACUGCGAAGGGGGGACGGAGAAGGCUAUGUUGGCCGGGCGACGGUUGUCCCGGUUUAAGCAUGUAGGCGGAUGUUCCAGGUAAAUCCGGAACGUUACUAACGCUGAGGUGUGAUGACGAGGCACUACGGUGCUGAAGUGACAAAUGCCCUGCUUCCAGGAAAAGCCUCUAAGCAUCAGGUAACAUCAAAUCGUACCCCAAACCGACACAGGUGGUCAGGUAGAGAAUACCAAGGCGCUUGAGAGAACUCGGGUGAAGGAACUAGGCAAAAUGGUGCCGUAACUUCGGGAGAAGGCACGCUGAUGGUAAGUGAAGUGACUUGCUCAUGGAGCUGAAAUCAGUCGAAGAUACCAGCUGGCUGCAACUGUUUAUUAAAAACACAGCACUGUGCAAACACGAAAGUGGACGUAUACGGUGUGACGCCUGCCCGGUGCCGGAAGGUUAAUUGAUGGGGUUAUCCUCGCGGAGAAGCUCUUGAUCGAAGCCCCGGUAAACGGCGGCCGUAACUAUAACGGUCCUAAGGUAGCGAAAUUCCUUGUCGGGUAAGUUCCGACCUGCACGAAUGGCGUAAUGAUGGCCAGGCUGUCUCCACCCGAGACUCAGUGAAAUUGAACUCGCUGUGAAGAUGCAGUGUACCCGCGGCAAGACGGAAAGACCCCGUGAACCUUUACUAUAGCUUGACACUGAACACUGGUCCUUGAUGUGUAGGAUAGGUGGGAGGCUUUGAAGUGUGGACGCCAGUCUGCAUGGAGCCAUCCUUGAAAUACCACCCUUUAAUGGCUGGUGUUCUAACGUGGGCCCGUGAUCCGGGUUGCGGACAGUGUCUGGUGGGUAGUUUGACUGGGGCGGUCUCCUCCUAAAGAGUAACGGAGGAGCACGAAGGUCAGCUAAUCCUGGUCGGACAUCAGGAGGUUAGUGCAAUGGCAUAAGCUGGCUUGACUGCGAGCGUGACGGCGCGAGCAGGUGCGAAAGCAGGUCAUAGUGAUCCGGUGGUUCUGAAUGGAAGGGCCAUCGCUCAACGGAUAAAAGGUACUCCGGGGAUAACAGGCUGAUACCGCCCAAGAGUUCAUAUCGACGGCGGUGUUUGGCACCUCGAUGUCGGCUCAUCACAUCCUGGGGCUGAAGUAGGUCCCAAGGGUAUGGCUGUUCGCCAUUUAAAGUGGUACGCGAGCUGGGUUUAGAACGUCGUGAGACAGUUCGGUCCCUAUCUGCCGUGGGCGCUGGAGAAUUGAGGGGGGCUGCUCCUAGUACGAGAGGACCGGAGUGGACGCAUCACUGGUGUUCGGGUUGUCAUGCCAAUGGCAUUGCCCGGUAGCUAAAUGCGGAAGAGAUAAGUGCUGAAAGCAUCUAAGCACGAAACUUGCCCCGAGAUGAGUUCUCCCUGACCCUUUAAGGGUCCUGAAGGAACGUUGAAGACGACGACGUUGAUAGGCCGGGUGUGUAAGCGCAGCGAUGCGUUGAGCUAACCGGUACUAAUGAACCGUGAGGCUUAACCUU